Parus major (Great Tit) is the source of this 1006-nucleotide long non-coding RNA. The record is from Ensembl. NCBI's taxonomy places the organism in Eukaryota, Metazoa, Chordata, Aves, Passeriformes, Paridae.
GGGUGUAAUUUCACCCAUCUCUGCAGUGACAUUUCCCAUCCUUCAGGACAGCAGAGGUGAAACUCCUCUUUCAGCAGCACAAUUUCAGGUAGGUAACCACCUCUGAGCCACUGAGCUGGAAGUAAAAGAAAUGCGAGGCACAGGGAGCAGGCUUCAGGAGAUGCAGGCCUGGGGACAGAAAGCUGAGUAGCUGCAUGUUGAUUUGUGUGUCUUCAUUGUGCUGCUGCUUCAGCUGCCAUGCAGCCUCCGAGUCCUGAUGCUGUUUUCUGUGAUAGACGCCCAGUGCAUGCACCAGUGAGUCCUGCUGAGGGCUGGGCUGCUGUGUGAGGCUCCUCUGGGGGCUGAUGCUCAGAGCUUUUACCACCUGGCCUUGUCUGCAAGGAAAGUGAUCAUUCCUCUAAUCUCGGGAGCUGGAGAUGAUCCUUCACCAGUCUGAGCUCUGCUGAAGUUGUUGGGGUGACAGCUAUUAUCUCUGCUGGAUUCCAGGCUGAUAUCAUCGUGCUGGAACCAGGCUUUGUGGCGACAUGCCUCUCCCUCCCUCCAGCAUCCAGCUCACCCUGGCCACAUGUGCAGCCCAGGCCACGACCUCGGCCUUGGCUGGGCUCUGACGCCCAUUUAACAGUCAGAGGCUGGAAAGGGAGUUGCUGCUGUGCUAUUUUUAACCAGCUGGACAGUUAAAUAAUUCAGAGGCAGACACACACAGAGUGGUCUGGGCUGUGUGUGGAUCUGAGAGGGAACAAGAGCAUUGUAUCAACCCUGCUGGGCUUGCUUAACCUCAUCAAGCAUGGGUUCUCAGGCUCUUUAAUACAAACAUGAAACAAAAACUAAACUUUCAGAAGUAAAAUCCCUGCCUUACUGGCGUCAAUGGGACUCCUGGCUCUGAGUGCAAUGGAGCCUGGAUCACACUUAGCUGCAAGGCAAGAGCUGUUCAGUAUUUCCUUGCUUUCUAAUGCUGCAUAAUUUUUUUUCCAUGACAAUAAAACCCACUUAUGGUGUGUAGAGUCCA